GCUCAACCUGGGAACUGCAUUCGAAACUGGCAGGCUGGAGUCUUGUAGAGGGGGGUAGAAUUCCAGGUGUAGCGGUGAAAUGCGUAGAGAUCUGGAGGAAUACCGGUGGCGAAGGCGGCCCCCUGGACAAAGACUGACGCUCAGGUGCGAAAGCGUGGGGAGCAAACAGGAUUAGAUACCCUGGUAGUCCACGCUGUAAACGAUGUCGACUUGGAGGUUGUUCCCUUGAGGAGUGGCUUCCGGAGCUAACGCGUUAAGUCGACCGCCUGGGGAGUACGGCCGCAAGGUUAAAACUCAAAUGAAUUGACGGGGGCCCGCACAAGCGGUGGAGCAUGUGGUUUAAUUCGAUGCAACGCGAAGAACCUUACCUACUCUUGACAUCCASRGAAYUURGCAGAGAUGCYUURGUGCCUUCGGGAACYSUGAGACAGG
RNAcentral lists this ribosomal RNA (432 nucleotides) under Bacillus sp. (in: firmicutes). RNAcentral's name for it is "bacterial SSU rRNA". It matches the Rfam family "Bacterial small subunit ribosomal RNA", at positions 607 to 1038 of the family's 1533-position model. Lineage: Bacteria; Bacillati; Bacillota; Bacilli; Caryophanales; Bacillaceae. The record is from RNAcentral.